UACGUAGGGUGCAAGCGUUGUCCGGAAUUAUUGGGCGUAAAGAGCUCGUAGGCGGUUUGUCGCGUCGAAUGUGAAAACCCGGGGCUCAACCCCGGGCCUGCAUUCGAUACGGGCAGACUAGAGUUCGGUAGGGGAGUCUGGAAUUCCUGGUGUAGCGGUGAAAUGCGCAGAUAUCUGGAGGAACACCGGUGGCGAAGGCGGCAUCCUGGACCGGCAUUGACGCUGAGGAGCGAAAGCCAGGGGAGCAAACGGG
RNAcentral lists this ribosomal RNA (253 nucleotides) under uncultured bacterium. RNAcentral describes it as "partial 16S ribosomal RNA". It matches the Rfam family "Bacterial small subunit ribosomal RNA", at positions 524 to 776 of the family's 1533-position model. The record is from RNAcentral.